RNAcentral lists this unclassified non-coding RNA (1833 nucleotides) under Hevea brasiliensis (rubber tree). The record is from RNAcentral. Lineage: Eukaryota; Viridiplantae; Streptophyta; Magnoliopsida; Malpighiales; Euphorbiaceae.
UUUUUUUUUUUUUAAUAUUAUUUAAUUUAAUAUUAGUUGUUUGGAUGCAAAUUUAUUGAAAUGUGUGUUGUUCUGGCAGUUGGUUUUACUCGACAAUAAUUUUGUUUGGAUUCUUGUGUUCUUUGAUAAGCUGUGAUGUAAGGAACUGGCCUAUUAUGAGAUAUCAAAACUUAAUCAAAUUUUAUAGUAUUCCUGCAUGAUUUACAUAAUUUACAAAAUUAUGGCUUUUCUCUUUCUCUUUUGCUUUUUGGGUGCCCAGAAAUUUGCUUUUACUGUCAGUACUGCUGAUUUGGUUUGAUAAAAGAUUUCACAAGUAUCCUAAUUGGCAUCGUAUGGUAUUUAAGUUAGAAAAUGCAGAGUAGCUCUCCUGCUUAGAGGUGAACUGGGAACAAGUUUCAAAUUUCCAGACUUUCAUCCAUCCAUAAUGUUGAUUUCAGGACUUUUAAGAGUUAAGACUCGCAUCUCUCAUGGUUUAUCACCAAAGAUUUGUUUUGAUUUAAGUCAUUUCUCGUCCUCAUUUUUAUUUGAGUUGUAAUAGGGUAAAUCGCAGAUUCGAAGCAAAAGGAUCGAAUCCAGAAAUUUAAAAUGAUUAAAAAUGAAAAAAAUUUCAAUUUCCGCUGCUGAUUAUUUGGUAUAGAAUUGCAUUAGGGAUAACUGAACUUGCACAUCUCAGUUCCCAACUUCCUGUAUAUGUUUUCCUGUCACUUCUAUAUCAAUUUUUUUUUUAAUAUUAUGAGUAAUUAUUACUUCUCAUUCAAUAUUCAUGUGAAGACAGUAAGAUUUUACACAGAUAGAGAUAUUUUUUGCUGGAAAAAAUAUGGAGGUAAAAAAGCACAAUUUAGUAGGAUGAUUAAAUAUGUUUUUGGCUUGGAACUGAAGUGACUCCCUUCUUUUCCCCUUUUUCCAAGUUCAAUUUGUAUUUGUUGAUUCAUCUUUUUCUUUUUCUGUUGUUCAGUUUAGUGGUAAAUCAGUUGGAAUUCUUGGAUUGGGCAGGAUUGGUGCAGCGAUUGCGAAGAGAGCUGAAGCUUUUGGUUGUUCCAUAAGUUACCACUCUAGAUCUCAAAAACCAAAUUCAAAUUACAAAUACUUCUCAAAUGUCAUAGAUUUGGCCAAAAAUUGUCAAAUCUUGGUUGUGGCUUGUGCUUUGACAGAGGAAACGCAACAUAUCAUCAAUCAAGAGGUCAUUGAUGCAUUGGGUCCAAAGGGCGUUCUUAUCAACAUUGGAAGAGGUGCACAUGUUGAUGAACGUGAGCUUGUGUCUGCACUGCUUGAAGGCCGGCUAGGUGGUGCAGGGCUUGAUGUAUAUGAAAAUGAACCUGAGGCUCCUGAACAACUUUUGGGCCUUGGCAAUGUUGUCCUUCUGCCUCAUGUGGGAAGUGAUACUAUAGAGACCAGCAACGCAAUGGCAGACCUUGUGAUCGCCAACUUGGAGGCACACUUCGACAACAAACCUCUCUUGACUCCAGUAAUAUGAUUAUGUGAGGGAACGUGUUGUUGAUUGAUCUGGAAGCUUGAGCUCUUACUGUCAUUUAGGUAUCCUUAGGUUCUACUGAUAUUUGUUAUAUUAACAUCAUGGUUUCUGCUAUCUUGGAAGUCCAUUUAAUGAUUUUCACUUGUUAGCUAGGAUUUCAAAACAUUUACAGUGAUUUGAUAAUCUUACAAGUUACAAUACUCAUCUAGUUUAAGUACGAACCUUGACACUAUAUUUGGGAGGGAGUUUUUAGAGUUAAGUGUGGAUUUUUAAAGUAGCAAGUAUUUGAUCGACUUAUUAGGGAGCAAUGAUUUUUUAAGGAGGUUCUCUAAAACCUUCAUUUUUUCAACUUAUCAAAUUGG